AUGAACGCAGCGACAGGCCUAACACAUGCAAGGUCGAGGGGCAGCACAAGGAGCAAUCUGAGGUGGCGACCGGCGCACGGGUGAGUAACACGUAUGCAACCUGCCUGUAAGCGGGGAAUAACCCGUUGAAAGACGGACUAAUACCGCAUAAUACUAAAUUACUGCAUGGUAAUUUAUUUAAACAUUUAUGGCUUACAGAUGGGCAUGCGCAUGAUUAGCUAGUUGGAGAGGUAACGGCUCCCCAAGGCAACGAUCAUUAGGGGUUCUGAGAGGAAGGUCCCCCCACACUGGUACUGAGACACGGACCAGACUCCUACGGGAGGCAGCAGUGAGGAAUAUUGGUCAAUGGACGAGAGUCUGAACCAGCCAAGUCGCGUGCAGGAAGAAUGUCCUAUGGAUUGUAAACUGCUUUUGCAGGGGAAUAAAGUGCAUCACGUGUGAUGUUUUGUAUGUACUCUGCGAAUAAGGAUCGGCUAACUCCGUGCCAGCCGCCGC
RNAcentral lists this ribosomal RNA (495 nucleotides) under uncultured bacterium. Its description in RNAcentral is "bacterial SSU rRNA". It matches the Rfam family "Bacterial small subunit ribosomal RNA", at positions 29 to 518 of the family's 1533-position model. The record is from RNAcentral.